This 250-nucleotide ribosomal RNA is filed under the name Candidatus Regiella insecticola. Its description in RNAcentral is "partial 23S ribosomal RNA". The stretch from base 61 to 250 matches the Rfam family "Eukaryotic large subunit ribosomal RNA", at positions 1 to 190 of the family's 3401-position model. The record is from RNAcentral. Lineage: Bacteria; Pseudomonadati; Pseudomonadota; Gammaproteobacteria; Enterobacterales; Enterobacteriaceae.
AUUCUUCUCGCUAUAGGGUCUCGGUGGUGUCUUGCCAGCAACCCCCCAUUUAUACAAGGUUGACCUCGGAUCAGGUAGGGAUACCCGCUGAACUUAAGCAUAUCAAUAAGCGGAGGAAAAGAAACCAACAGGGAUUGCCCUAGUAACGGCGAGUGAAGCGGCAACAGCUCAAAUUUGAAAUCUGGCGUCUUUGGCGUCCGAGUUGUAAUUUGCAGAGGGCGCUUUGGCAUUGGCAGCGGUCCAAGUUCCU